Molecule: ribosomal RNA, 253 nt
Filed under: uncultured bacterium
Lineage: Bacteria
Description: partial 16S ribosomal RNA
Rfam family: Bacterial small subunit ribosomal RNA
Source: RNAcentral
UACGGAGGGUGCAAGCGUUAAUCGGAAUUACUGGGCGUAAAGCGCGCGUAGGCGGCUGGAUAAGUCGAUUGUGAAAGCCUUGGGCUCAACCUGAGAAUUGCAGUCGAGACUGUUCGGCUAGAGUGUGGGAGAGGGUGGUGGAAUUCCCGGUGUAGCGGUGAAAUGCGUAGAUAUCGGGAGGAAUAUCAAUGGCUAAGGCGACCACCGGGAUCUACACUGACGCUGAGGUGCGAAAGCGUGGGUAGCAAGCAGG